GGCAACCCGCUCGGGUUCCCUUCCACACUGUGGAAGCUUUGUUCUUUCGCUCUUUGCAAUAAAUCUUGCUACUGCUCACUCUUUGGGUCCACGCUGCUUUUAUGAGCUGUAACACUCACCGCGAAGAUCUGCAGCUUCACUCCUGAGCCCAGCAAGACCACAAACCCACCGGGAGGAACGAACAACUCCAGACACGCUGCCUUAAGAGCUGUAACACUCACCGCGAAGGUCUGCAGCUUCACUCCUGAGCCAGCGAGACCACGAACCCACCAGAAGGAAGAAACUCCAAACACAUCCGAACAACAGAAGGUACAGACUCCAGACGCGCCACCCUAAGAGCUGUAACACUCACCGCGAGGGCCCGCGGCUUCAUUCUUGAAGUCAGUGAGACCAAGAACCCACCAGAAGGAAGAAACUCCGAACACAUCUGAACAUCAGAAGGGACAGACUCCAGACACGCCACCCUAAGAGCUGUAACACUCACCGUGAGGGUCCGCGGCUUCAUUCUUGAAGUCAGUGAGACCAAGAACCCACCAAUUCCGGACACACUGGGAUUACAGGUGUGAGCCACUGUGCCUAGCCGACAUAAUUCCAUUUAUAGGACAUUCUGGAAAAGGCAAAGCUGUAGUGACAGAGAACAGAUAGUGGUGGCCAGGGAUAAGGGAUGCAUGGCCACAGAGAGGCCGCACAGACUUCCUGUGUGGUGACGGAACCGUUCUGUCCUGACUGUGAUGUUGAUGACGUGAACUUGGACGUGUUUUAAAACUCCUCUGAGGAAGCUGGCUCCUGGUUAAAAAGGUCUGUGCGAAAUUUCAGGCACAAACAUAAACAAUCACCAAGGCUUUACCCUGUGGGCCUCAUAGAGGAAAACUGCCCUCCCCACAACAGACGUGGUGUACAGCCAACGUACUGUGGAUGCUACAGGACUAUGAUGUGGUCCCCAGUCCUGAAUGUAUUGUUGAUGCUGAUGUCCCAUCUAUGUACACCCCUGCUAGCCUUUGCCCCAGUCCCUGAUGGGAACUGCUGCAGUUAGGGCCGUUACAGAGCAGCAUAGGAAGACUGAAUCCACCCAACUCAGGCUAUGGCUAGUUCCCUGGCCAUUGGAUCAGGCCACCGGCCAGCCUCAGACUGGCAGGUAAAACAAGGUUCCUGGUGGAGACAGGACUUUUUUUAAAAAAACUAAUUUCAACUUUUUCUUUAGACUCACGAGUACAUGUGCAGGUUUGUUUUGUGGGUUUACUGCGUAAUGCUGAGGUUUGGGGUACGACUGAUCCUGUCACCCAGGUGGUGAGCACAGAACCCAACAGGCUUCCCUCUUCCCUCCCUCCCUCCCCACGUUUGAGGUCCCCCGUGUCUACUGGUCCCAUCUUCGUGUCCACGUGUACCCAGUGUUUUGCUCCCACUUAUAAAUAAGAACAGAGAACAUUUGGUUUCCUGUUCCUGAGGACGAGACAUUUAGAUAAAAAUCAGUUCUGCUCCUAAGAAGCAUUUUGUUACCCAUACGGGUGCUCACCAAAAAGACUCCGGUGCUGACCCAGGAAACACAACCACCCAACUGCACUUGCUAAAUGCAGACUAAGAUGUCUUCCACUCCGGAGCAAGCAGAUAUGUGACUGACCGCCUCAUGGAGCCACGAGAAACGUCCCACAGAGAUGCAGACAUGGCCUAGACCGAGCCUCCGCGUGUGCUGCUUCUGCUCUCAGAAGACGGUGAACCACGGGAAACAGCUGUCCUGCUUUCCAGACUCUGGUCAAGGCUAGCACCGCCCAAAGGCAGAUUCCCAGGUCAAUCGGCCAUGACAUUCUCGGCAGACCUGCUGCUAAAAGCUUUCUCCUCCUCCUAAAAAACCAAACACAAGAGCUCCUCUUGCUGCCUUUCCAUGGACUGUGGCGGCUGUGGACUUGGACUGUCUGCUGAGCCCACACCUCGGCUUCCUCACGGUGCUGACGAGGAGAGGCAGGGGACUGCCUUGGCUCCUGGGCUCUGUGCAGAACUCCUCCAGAGACUGUCCACACUCUGAUAAGGUGGGACUAACAAACUCAUGUCAUGGAUAAACAGAAUGGUUUGGUACUCAGUCCCAGGCAGGCCCUCUGAAGUCAAGGCCUAAACCCAAUGAUCCAGACUGGACAGAGGCCCGACGAUGGGAAGCCACCUUGGAUCCCUGUUAACCUCACAACCUGAGGCGUGUGUGCCUGGCUGGGGCACCUGACCUUGUGAAUUCGUUGUUUCUAGGGGACCACGUGUGCCCUCUGGGAUUGCACUCAGGACCUGUCUCAGCCUGGAAGACAUUCAGGUCACGUUCAAUUUCCUGGCCAGUGUUCUGCUGUGCCUGAAUUGAUGCCUCAGGCCAGGUAAAGAAGAUUCACACAGAUUCUUCUGUCUCUCCAGUGGGCUGUGGGGCGUCUUUCCUGGCAUGGCAACUGCCGAGGUGACUGCUGAGGCCAUGUUCAGUCCUCCAGGCCCGACCAUCCUGCUUGAAAUGGCGUCAUAGCCAUGGUCUGCUGUUGCCUCAGACGAUUUACCUGGUUAUUGUCACGGCCCGUCAAAGUCUGACCUAUUGGGGUCCAUGAUGAGGUAGCCUGUUUCACACUUAGGUCCUAAAAAAUCAAGGAGUGGAGUCAAGGAGUUCAGCUCCUGGUUAAAUACCUGUAGUGCGGCCGGGCACGGUGGCUCACGUCUGUAAUCCCCGCACUUUGGGAGACUGAGGUGGGUGGAUCACAAGGUCAGGAAAUUGAGACUAUCCUGGCUAACACAGUGAAACCUCGUCUCUACUAAAAAUACAAAAAAAUUAGCCGGGUGUGGUGGCAGGCGCCUGUAGUCCCAGCUACUCGGGAGGCUGAGGCAGGAGAAUGGUGUGAACCGGGGAGGCGGAGCUUGCAGUGAGCUGAGAUUGUGCCACUGCACUCCAGUCUAGGCGAGAGAGCGAGACUCCAUCUCAAAAAAAAAAAACAAAAAAACCUGUAGUGCAUGUUCAGGUGUAAGCACAGGCAAUUACCAAGGCUUUACCCAGCAGGCCUCAGGGGAAAACUGCCCUCCCAAGAGACUUGGUGCACGGCCAGCGCACUCUGGUCUUUGAGGGGAGCUGCAGUCAGGGGUCGUGAUCUCACACAUUUGCCCUUCUUACCCAGGCACCUGCACUCCAGUCUCCUGAGGCCUUUCUCAGGUGCUAAUGCAAGACCUCCUCGUUGGGGUGGGGGAGAACCCUGAAGACACUUUUCCCCACUUUGACUCAGUACCUGGUACUUUUCUACUCCCAGCCCCUCCCUCCCUACCCCAGGGUCCAAAAAAAUUGCUGGAGUUUUUUGUUCAGGGCUCCCUUGGCUGAGGGCAAAGAGACAAUCCCCACAUCUGCACUGAUGCAACUGGCUCUUUGUCAGAAGCAUUAGAACCAAAGCGACUCCAUCUUGAGUGAGGGCGAGGGAAAAUGAGGCUGGAGCUUGCUGGACAGCAUUGCCAGGAGGUGAGGUAUUCCUGGCCUCUAGAUGUUUACGGUUAAGGGAACAGAUUAGUAAUGUGUACUAAACAGACCCAUGUCUUGAGAACAAAACCGUUUCUAAUUUUGCUUUAAAGAUAAUAAUAUUGAUUCUUAUAAAACAUAUUAAGAAAAUCAAUCCUUUGUCACAAACCCUUGUGGCUGAGCACAUCUCCCUGUGACUGUCAUUGUUGUUGUCCUACAUGUCAACAAGCCUUGUACCUAGGGUGGGCGCCUUCCUCCUCCUGCUUUCCGGAAUGCCCUGCUCUGCCUAUGGAGUAGCCAUCCUUUAUUCCUUUACUUUUUUUUUUUUGAGACGGCGUCUUGCUCCGUCACCCAGGCUGGAGUGCAGUGGUGCCACUCCUGGCGUGGGACUGAACAUCAAAAAAAGAAAAUAUCAGGAAGAAAGGAAAGGCAGGGAAAGGGUGAGAGGGGAGAGGCUGGCUAGGUGGUAAGAAUUCCUCCGAAAGGUGAGGGGACACCACAGUCUGUUUCUUGAGUCAACAAAGUACGGAAACAGAGCUGAACGCAGAUCCCUGCAUGUCAGGCCUUUGCCAACAGAAGCGGCAUUUCCAUCCAAAACACAUCAACAUUCCAGGGGAGAGCAUACUUAUGGGGACCAUUUGAAGGUUUCGUAAUGAUCAAUUCUGCCAGGUGAUUUAAGUUUCUUUCCUAAAACUGGAAUCUAGGUAGGAUGUGCAACCAAGACCCCAUCUCAGUCCUCGAAGAAACUGUGUUCUGAAUUCUUUCGAUUCAUGCCCUUAGCUGACAUUGAGGAGCUCCAAGAAAUAGUCCUAGGAAACCUGUUUGUUUAUUACAAGGCUGCUAUUUAGGAUCUUACCACUAUGCCAGGUACAUGAAUAAUUAUCAAAACAUUUUCUUUAUGUGUAAUUAUCGGAAGUAUUUGCUUCUCCAGAGUAAUCUGUCUGCUUUUUCCUUUUGACAAGAGGAACCCACGUUAACUAUUCCUACUUCCCUUUCUGUUAUGGCUUCUGGAAAUAACAGAAAAGCUUGCAGUUCAACUCUGUAACAGGGAAGGAUCCCAUUUCUUAUUGAUCUCUUCCAACUUUAAGACUUUUGUAUGAUUCUUUUUCUCACUUUGUCACCCUGGCUGGAGUGCACUGAUGCGAUCUCAGCUCACUGCAGCCUCCAUCUCCUGGGUUCAAGUGAUUCUCAUGCCUCAGCCUCCCGAGUAGCUGGGAGGCUAAUUUUUGUAUUUUCAGUAGAGACGGGGUUUUGCCAUGUUGGCCAGGCUGGUCUCAAACUCCUGACCUCAAAUGAUCUGCCCUCCUUGGCCUCCCAAAGGGCUGGGAUUACAGGCAUGAGCCACCAUGCCCAGCUGAGACUUUUGUAUGUUUCUAUAAUCUACUUUGUGCUUCUUUGGACAUCUUCUUUCCCAAGUUUAUAUUUUCUCUUAUUUAAAUGUAUUUAGACCCUUCUGUGUGUUGCAGAGAUUUCUGUAAGCCUCGUAACACCCACAAAACAGAGGAUAAACCGAUAACCCACCUGUGACUGGAUCAUUUUCAUGAAACAGAGGAUAAACCAAUAACCCACCUGUGACUGGAUCAUUUUCAUGAAACAGAGGGUAAACCGAUAACCCACCUGUGACUGGAUCAUUUUCCGCUGCUCUUGGGAAAUCUGCUGUUUUGUGACUUCUCUUAGUCCUGACACCCUGGAGUGGCCUCUGGUCAGUGGUCUGUAAACUGAGAAUACAUCCUUGGUCUUGUGGGCUCUUC
Long non-coding RNA from Pan troglodytes (chimpanzee), 5208 nucleotides. RefSeq lists it as uncharacterized. The transcript is spliced from 2 exons. The record is from RefSeq and is a predicted model, not a curated record. NCBI's taxonomy places the organism in Eukaryota, Metazoa, Chordata, Mammalia, Primates, Hominidae.